AACGUAGGAGGCAAGCGUUAUCCGGAUUUACUGGGCGUAAAGCGCGUUCAGGCGGUUUGGCAAGUCGGGCAUGAAAUCUCUCGGCUCAACCGGGAGAGGUUGUCCGAUACUUCCAGACUUGAGGGCAGUAGAGGGUGGUGGAAUUCCGGGUGUAGAGGUGAAAUUCGUAGAUAUUAGGAAGAACACCGGUGGCGAAGGCGGCCCACUGGUCCGGUACUGACGCUGAGGUGCGAAAGCGUGGGGAGCAAACAGG
Molecule: ribosomal RNA, 253 nt
Filed under: uncultured bacterium
Lineage: Bacteria
Description: partial 16S ribosomal RNA
Rfam family: Bacterial small subunit ribosomal RNA
Source: RNAcentral